Long non-coding RNA from Manduca sexta (tobacco hornworm), 3872 nucleotides. RefSeq lists it as uncharacterized. The transcript has 3 exons. Lineage: Eukaryota; Metazoa; Arthropoda; Insecta; Lepidoptera; Sphingidae. The record is from RefSeq and is a predicted model, not a curated record.
CCUAUUAGUGACACUCUUUUGAAAUAUAAUUUUGCACUGAAUACACGCGUACACCUAGCGGCCGAUACCAAGUUUCAAGUAUCUUUUUUCAAAGUAAAUUGUACUGUAAAAAUAUAAUUAAAGGUUCAAUAUAACUUUUAAAUAAUUUCUUACUGGCCAUGGAUAAAUUGGGCUGUGAUUUAUACAACUUGGAACUCAUCGUAAGAUACUGUUAAUAAAUUUGAAUGGCGUCAUAAGAUCUCAAGGUCUACAUUCUUCGUGGAGAAUUUGGAGCAGACUAUUUUAAAACAUUAACGCAGAACGAAACUAAGAAAACGAACUAUGGUGUUGACAGAAGAGGGCCCAGCAAGGAUAAUACUACAUUUGGAAGUUCAACAUUGACAUCAUAAACUAUGAAACUAGUAUCGUUUGCUUAAAAUUAUGCGGCAAACUGUUCAAACAAUAGGACCUUAGUUAAGGGUAAGACCUUAAGGGGUCGAAAGGUUCUAGAGUGGAGGCCACGUACAGGCAAGCGAAAUGUCGGACGCCCGCCUACACGGUGGACGAACGACCUGGCUAAGGUCGCAGGAAGUCACUGGAUGCAGGCCUCUUCCGACGGUCGACGUGGAGAUCCUUGGGGGAGGCCUGUGUUCAGCAGUGGACUUCCUGUGGCAGAGAUGAUGAUGAUAAUGAGAGGACCUUACCAGAGACCAAGUAUGCUUCCACUAGACUAGACCAAUGAAGCUCAUUCUUGUAACAAUGUACCAUCAACAUGUUUAAUAGUCAAAUUAUUGAACAAAUAUUGUCAAACGGAUUAAUUUAUAAAUCAAUAGGACAACUUAUACUUACAUGGCACUUAAAGCAAUAUUUAGAAGAUUAUUUUGUAUUCGUUUGUUGCGAAGCACUACACAACUUUAUGGAAAAUAAUAGUAAUUGUUGAAGUUGUUAAAACUAGGCUUGUUGACAGCAUGCGAGAUCUUUAUUUGAUUUUUGAAUGUACUUUACAAAAACUAAAAUUCUUAAUAACUUUCAAAUUUCUAAUUACGUUUUAGCCUUUCCAAGUACUUAAAAUAUAUUGUUAUGUACCUAUAAGCACUAUAGGUACCUACGUAACGGCAUUGCUAUUUUGAUAUUAAUUUUGCCAAAAAUUAAGUAUAUAUAGAUUUACCGUUAGAUAUAAAAUAUAAGAUAGAUGUUACCCAUUCAAAAGUGUAAUUAUAAAGAACGCUUUAACAACCUGAAAUAUAACUCUUUUUUAUAAUAUACAAAUAUAUUUAAUUGACAUCUAAUAUUAUUCUUACUUACCUACGUCCUAAAUCGGCAUCUAGGCAUCAUGUCUACAUUGUCAGCUUGUUGGAACGAAACACUACACUUCUAGGAAACUGACAGUUGUUAAAGUAACUGGUUUCAUAGUGUAUAGGCUAUUUGUGAUAUAACUACUACUAUUAAAUUUAACUAUUGUUUCUAAUUAUGCUUAUCUCGAGGUAGUAACGGUUAUUAUGGGUAUGUGAUAUUACUUAUACUUAUUAAAAGAAUAUUUAUAGGUGAACAUUCUGUUCCUCUUUGAUUGUUUUUCACUUUAAUAAUCAUUUAGAGAAUCAUUAAAAUGUGAAAAUAAAGUUUUACCUUUUAUAAUAUCAACGGUUUGCAGGAUGAUUGUUUUAAGGUAAAUUUAUUUGCGACAUUCAGUUUUAUACAUAUUAGGAAUCAGCACACAUUCCCCAGUUUUUUGAAACCAGUAUCAAUUUUUCGAAAAUAUAUUACGCUUAAGUUCAUUAGUCUGCCAUCCAUCGAUAUACUUUUAGACCCUCUAUUAUACUCUUGCUCCGGCGAAGCCCACACUUUUUCAUAACAUAAUGUGAACAAACUGUCGUGUUUCGCUUACGUCGAACCGAGUAAGUACUGAUUCUUAAAACCAUGAGUGCAAAGCUCGUAUGUCAAUUACCUUCUUUAGUUCAUACCCGCAUCAUUACCGUCUAUUCAUGAUCGGUGUCGUUACGUCGAUGUACACGCAUUUCUUUUCUGUUUUUGACAUUUCAUCAUCAUCAUCGUCAUCUCUGCCACAGGAAGUCCACUGCUGAACAUAGGCCUCCCCCAAGGAUCUCCACGUCGACCUGUUGGAAGCGGCGGCGGUUGUUUUGACAUUUACCACUUCAUAUUUCGAAUGUCUAUAACUUUUUUAAUAACUCUGCUUAAGAUUGGUCUAUGGUAAUAAAAAAAGACUCUUCUAUCCAAUAAUAGGCCGAUAAUGGUCAUUUUUCUUUAGUCAUGGAGCGAGUAAUCAUACGCGGCUCUUGAGGUGACUUUGAAGAUCACCAGCUAAUUAGCGAUAAUCAUACGGUUUCCGUGGGAUUCGGCUGGUAAACUGUACCUCACACCGCUUGUCGGAAGCUGUGGAAAGCAAGAGGAGUAGCCGUCGCGUCGGUAUAUAGCAUAGACAUUUGAAAGCGCAGCAACCAUAGUUGUCAUUGCAAUAAUCUAGGUAGGGCCUGAUAUAAUGAGGCGAUCGCCAUUCGGUGCUGUUAGUCGUAGUGGUGGUAUAACAACGUAUAUUAUUCCGUCCAAAUUGUUGAAAGGCCAAAAAACCUAUAGUCAGUCCCAUCGAUUUUAGCAAGUCUCUUAACUGGUAAAUUUGAAUGGGUAGACAUUAAGUACUUACUAAAAAAUUACAUUUCAAAAUAUAGUUUUUUUUUAAUUAGAUUAAGUAUGAAUAUUUAUGCUUUAGAUUUAAGUUAUAAUUUUUAGAUAUAGGUAGUUAAGUACUAUAAAAAAAACAUCUCAUUUAUACAUUAAGUAAGGGCCAGGAAAAUAUAAAGCCUCGCCAUGUUGUACUUAAAUAAUCUAGAACUAAUUUAUUAUACUCCCAACGUUAAAAUUAAAACAAAAACCAAUUCAGGCUAUGUAAAUGAGUAUACUAUAACAUGAGUAGGUACUAAUCUAUUUACAUUUAAAUAAUAUUUUCUGCUUUGCUUAUUCUUAUGUUGCGAUUUUUGGUUCGACUUGGUCUUGCUUUCCAUAUAUACUUAUUAUAAUUCUCUCUGGUCUAGCUCUAGUGACGGCAUAUUGCAUAUUCUGAGUAGAGUAAAAGGCCCAAAGUUCCAUUUUUCAGGACGUUCAGGCAGAAACUGAUUUAUUUCACCAUCAACUAGUAAAUAUUUACCUAAUAAAAGCGAAUAAGUUUAUUCAAAGAUGAAAAUGAUGGUAAAGUUCUUAAAGCUACUUCGUUAACAAUAUAUUAUUGAAUGUAUGAUAAAAAUAAAAUAUCACUUAACAAAAAGAUGUACCUGUAAUGAAUUGUAGGUAAGUAAACGAUAUUGUAAACAUUAGGCUUAUUCAAAAGAAAACUCAGUAUAGUGAAAUGUUAAGAUUUAAAUCAAUAAAAGUUUAUAUACCUAUAGGCUAUAGUGAUAUAGAAUAUACCUAAGUAUUCAUCGACUAUUUAAGGCGCGCGCACGCUUUAAAUUUUUUACGGAUAUGUUACUACAUUACUAUGAAAUUUAUACUGAAGUUGCCGUAGUUGCUCCAGGAACUGUUAGGUAGCAGUGUAGUGUUUCUCGGUAACAUGUUGAUAACGUCUAUGCGACGCCUAACAGUAUCCACACUAGCUCAAAGUCAUUACAAUAAAGAAAAAUGUAAUGCAUUUUAAAUUAAUAGCCAAGAAGAAUGUAUAAACUAUUUAAGGAUAUAAUAAACAAUUUGCUGGCUUACUGUACCAAAGUCCAAUGUUUGUUUUUAUUCAUGUUGAAAAAAUGGGCAUCCCCUGGGUUAAAUUUUGGGACCAUUCUUAUUUUUAGUCUAUAUUAACGACCUACCCUACAUGGUUAACAAAAUGGCUAAAGUUCUAUGACACUUCAAAAAGCAUGUAUAAAUGUAAAUAAAUGUUUAUUUUAUAA